Molecule: small nuclear RNA, 191 nt
Organism: Erinaceus europaeus (western European hedgehog)
Lineage: Eukaryota; Metazoa; Chordata; Mammalia; Eulipotyphla; Erinaceidae
Gene: U2
Rfam family: U2 spliceosomal RNA
About the family: U2 is a small nuclear RNA (snRNA) component of the spliceosome (involved in pre-mRNA splicing).
Source: Ensembl
GUCACUUCUUAGUCUUUUGAGUAAGAUGAAGUAUAGUAUCUGUUAUGAUUAGUUUAAUAUCUGAUAUAUCCUCUAUCCAAGGACAAUGUAUUGGGUGAAUAUUUGGAGCAGGGAGAUGGACUAGAAGUUCGCUCUAUGUGGUCCACACAUUGGCUUGGCACUGUAAUACUUCCAAGAUCAGUGCAUCCCCU